This 452-nucleotide ribosomal RNA is filed under the name Pseudomonas aeruginosa. RNAcentral describes it as "bacterial SSU rRNA". It matches the Rfam family "Bacterial small subunit ribosomal RNA", at positions 30 to 484 of the family's 1533-position model. The record is from RNAcentral. Lineage: Bacteria; Pseudomonadati; Pseudomonadota; Gammaproteobacteria; Pseudomonadales; Pseudomonadaceae.
AUUGAACGCUGGCGGCAGGCCUAACACAUGCAAGUCGAGCGGAUGAAGGGAGCUUGCUCCUGGAUUCAGCGGCGGACGGGUGAGUAAUGCCUAGGAAUCUGCCUGGUAGUGGGGGAUAACGUCCGGAAACGGGCGCUAAUACCGCAUACGUCCUGAGGGAGAAAGUGGGGGAUCUUCGGACCUCACGCUAUCAGAUGAGCCUAGGUCGGAUUAGCUAGUUGGUGGGGUAAAGGCCUACCAAGGCGACGAUCCGUAACUGGUCUGAGAGGAUGAUCAGUCACACUGGAACUGAGACACGGUCCAGACUCCUACGGGAGGCAGCAGUGGGGAAUAUUGGACAAUGGGCGAAAGCCUGAUCCAGCCAUGCCGCGUGUGUGAAGAAGGUCUUCGGAUUGUAAAGCACUUUAAGUUGGGAGGAAGGGCAGUAAGUUAAUACCUUGCUGUUUUGACUU